UGAUGUAGAGCGUUAGUCUAUAGGAACUUCUAUACUGUCUGAUACAAGCUUCCCCUGCAUCAAGUUUAAUAGCAACUGAUAGAAAGUCCUAAAUAAUGACCAUUGUUAUUUAAAAAAAAAAAUAGUUGUUUUAAUCCUUCACCCUAUAGAAUAACCUCAGGAAUUGACAUUUUCUUGUGAUGUGUGUCUCUGACUGUCUGAGCAGCUGGUCGUAGUGAGUCACUGAAAACAGCUGUCUAGCCUCUCUGUCUUUAUGGUAACCCUCUC
Pelobates cultripes (western spadefoot toad) is the source of this 267-nucleotide non-coding RNA. NCBI's taxonomy places the organism in Eukaryota, Metazoa, Chordata, Amphibia, Anura, Pelobatidae. The record is from the annotation of a GenBank genome assembly.